CAAAGAAGGAAUGCUUGGUUGGAAAUAACUGAUUAGUCAAUGUUGCCAGUGGCUCCAGGUUAUCCUGCCUGAAGAUCGGGAUGGCGCUUCAUGAGCUGAAGGUAAAUACAGAGAUGGUGGCGCAGAGAGGGCGGGGAACAAUCAGGGAGCUCCAUUCAGCUGUGCGGUGGGGGAAAGUGGAGGAAACGGGUAGACGAUUCGAGCGAUAAGAAGAUACCAGGGAUUGGAUCUUUCACCAGCAAGUACAGAAAGGUCAUCAGUGUUGAACUCGGUGUUCUGAUCAGGUUUCAAACCUGCUUUCACCAUGAACUUGAACUGGUGAAAAAAGCAAUAACUCUUUCCUCCCCCUUCAAUAAGCAGUGUGAAGAGUUUCUUGUGAAAGAACAAUUUAUAAUAAUAUUUUCAACAUGUCCCUCACAUUUUCCAUUGAGCCAUAUACUGAACCACACAGCCAGCAGAAUGGGAUCUAUAGGAGCACAUUCUUCUUGGAAAUUAGAUUUUUUAAUAAAAAAACAUAACAUUUUCUUCUCUAUGUUUAGGGCACCCACAGAUGCUAUUUAAUUUGAGCAUUUUCAAGAGUUCACUUUCUGCCAAGUUAACUGUCUAACUGUGCUUACUUCCAAAAUUACACGCUAAGCCUCACAUGUGAGUAAAUAUUAUAGCCACCGCUGUUUCAUGCAUACAGUAUCUGUGCUCUUUAUGUUUGUACCCAAACAGAUCAUGAUACCGUUUAGUGUCAUGAGGCAGUAAUGAUGAUCAGUGUUCUUUAAAAUGCUUUGGGCUAUUGUGUUUUAAAGGAACGAACUGUGUGGUGCAUUGUAAAUAAAGAUAUAGUGAGUGCAGUGUCAUUUCCAGUUUUCAUUACUGUGAGUGAUGUGAGACGACAGAAUACUUCCUCUUAGCAAUGACUGACCUAUAUGAAAGGUCCACUAUUGUCUAUGACUUUGCUUCCAGGCAAGAAGACAAAUGAGUGAAUGGUCAAUAAUGAGCAUCAUUACAAUUCCAUUGGAGCAAGAAAUCAGAGAUUUCUCAGAGUGCCGUAGAGCCAUAAACCCAGAAUGAAUGGUUGGCUUCAGAAAUGGAGGUCGCCAACUCCAAAAAGGAAAAGAUAAAAUGUCAUUGAAACAUUGUAGAGGGUGUUAGAGAAGAGACACAGGAAUGAUUCUAAGGUUCAAAGUUGUGAGGAGAAAUUCAAAAAGAGGAAUUUGUUUGUGAGCACAGAAGUUUCGCUCACAAAAUAUACAAUUAAUUCACUUUACAGUAUAUUCUGUGAAGCACUUUGAGACAUCUCAAAGACGUGAUAAAGUGCAAUAUCAAAUGCAAGGAUUAUUAUUAAGUAGAGGACGUAGGUGAAAAGAUUAAAAUAUUCAAGCAAAACCAAAAAUUAGAAGGGUGUUUUCACUGCUUUCCCCACACAUGCAACCAGUGAAUAUGUGGAAUAAAUUCCCAAAGAUUCCCAAUGAAAGCUCUUGAAGUGCCAAUUAAUUCUUUCAAAGAGUAACUGAGUAGUUUUUCUGAACAGUUUUUGGUUCAUUGAUUAUGCAUAUUCAGAUGAAUAAAUACUUUAUGGAACAUAAUAAAUUGUUGGAGGAAGUGGGGUGCGUGGGGAUGGGAAAUAAAGUCCCUAGGGGAGGAAGUGGCCUAGAGCUAAAUGCGAGAAAUUGGAAUUGGAAUCAUAUCCUGGAGGUAUUGUUCCAUUAUCUUUGAGGAUUGUUCAAACCGCCGUCGUCUGCAUUCUCACCCACACCAAAAUUGUAUCCUGAUUACUCUAGUCCUUGCCAAACUCCACUGGCUCCCUGUCACA
Callorhinchus milii (elephant shark) is the source of this 1804-nucleotide long non-coding RNA. RefSeq lists it as uncharacterized. The record is from RefSeq and is a predicted model, not a curated record. The transcript is spliced from 3 exons. NCBI's taxonomy places the organism in Eukaryota, Metazoa, Chordata, Chondrichthyes, Chimaeriformes, Callorhinchidae.